Molecule: ribosomal RNA, 474 nt
Filed under: uncultured bacterium
Lineage: Bacteria
Description: partial 16S ribosomal RNA
Rfam family: Bacterial small subunit ribosomal RNA
Source: RNAcentral
GACGAACGCUGGCGGCGUGCUUAACACAUGCAAGUCGAGCGGUAAGGCUCCUUCGGGGGUACACGAUCGGGGGCCGGGAGCGUAACAGUAGCGUAAGCUGCCCUUCACUUCGAGAUAGCCACCGGAAACGGAGGCUAAUACCAAAUCCGACCAACAUCCGUAUAAGGAGGUGGUGGGAUGUAAUUUCGGUAUAGGAUGUGCCCGCGGCGUAUCAGCUUGUUGGUGGGGUAAUGGUCUACCAAGGCUUCGACGGGUAGCCGGCCUGUGAGGGUGACGGGCCAGACUGGGACUGAGACACGGCCCAGACUCCUACGGGAGGCAGCAGUGGGGAAGAUUGGACAAUGGGCGAAAGCCUGAGCCAGCAACGCGGCGUGAGGGAGGACGGCCUUCGGGUUGUAAACCGCUUUCAGUACCGACGAAGCGCCCUGUCGGGUAGUGACGGUAGGUACAGAAGAAGGACCGGCCAACUACGUG